Molecule: ribosomal RNA, 330 nt
Filed under: Triticum aestivum (bread wheat)
Lineage: Eukaryota; Viridiplantae; Streptophyta; Magnoliopsida; Poales; Poaceae
Description: partial small subunit ribosomal RNA
Source: RNAcentral
AUGUUGCGUACUGCCGCAGAGGAGGCGGCGGUGGAAGCCAUGGAGGUGGUGGCGGCGGUGGAAGCCAUGGAGGUGGUGGCGGCGGCGGGAGAGGUGGAAGAGGUUACGGGAGUGGAGGCGGAUGGAUGGGUGGCGGCGGGACUUAUUGGCCGUGGUUGCACCCACACAGCGCAGCGGCCGAACCGAGCGUCGGCUGGAGGGUUUCUGGCGCCGUCAUACUCACGCCGGCGGCGCUUGUAUGGUGGCUCUGAGAGUGCCUACUUUCGCAAGCUAAUCUGGGGAGACGAGUGCCUUGGCGAAUUUCUCGUCUCUGGUGGCUCCGCUACCUAG